RNAcentral lists this small nuclear RNA (172 nucleotides) under Trifolium pratense (red clover). Its description in RNAcentral is "snRNA U2". It matches the Rfam family "U2 spliceosomal RNA". Rfam says of the family: U2 is a small nuclear RNA (snRNA) component of the spliceosome (involved in pre-mRNA splicing). The record is from RNAcentral. Lineage: Eukaryota; Viridiplantae; Streptophyta; Magnoliopsida; Fabales; Fabaceae.
AUAACUCUUCCUCUGAUAUGUUCUUAUCAGUUUAAUAUCUGAUAUGUGAUCCAAUGGAUCACAUGAUAUUAAAUUAUUUUUUUGAGGGGAAGAAGUCACUACAGUAGCAAGCUACUGAGCUUCUCGUGUGUCACACAUGCGUUGCACUACUGCAUAGGCCGGGGAACCCAAA